This 465-nucleotide ribosomal RNA is filed under the name uncultured bacterium. Its description in RNAcentral is "partial 16S ribosomal RNA". It matches the Rfam family "Bacterial small subunit ribosomal RNA", at positions 28 to 507 of the family's 1533-position model. The record is from RNAcentral.
GACGAACGCUGGCGGCGUGCUUAACACAUGCAAGUCGAACGGAAAGGCCCUGCUUGCAGGGUACUCGAGUGGCGAACGGGUGAGUAACACGUGGGUGAUCUGCCCUGCACUUCGGGAUAAGCCUGGGAAACUGGGCCUAAUACCGGAUAGGAGCCAUUUUUAGUGUGAUGGUUGGAAAGUUUUUUCGGUGUAGGAUGAGCUCGCGGCCUAUCAGCUUGUUGGUGGGGUAAUGGCCUACCAAGGCGGCGACGGGUAGCCGGCCUGAGAGGGUGGACGGCCACAUUGGGACUGAGAUACGGCCCAGACUCCUACGGGAGGCAGCAGUGGGGAAUAUUGCACAAUGGGCGCAAGCCUGGUGCAGCGACGCCGCGUGGGGGAUGACGGCCUUCGGGUUGUAAACUCCUUUCGCUAGGGACGAAGCUUUUUGUGACGGUACCUAGAUAAGAAGCACCGGCUAACUACGUG